CGGUCUGCCGCUGGCUUCAUCCGCAAGGACGAGGCGAGAGGAAAGUCCGGGCAACACAGGGCAUUCCGCUUCCUAACGGGAAGAGGUUCGCGAGGGCCUGUCGAUGCAGAAGAAAACAACCGCCACGCGCCAGCGGGGUAAGGGUGAGAAGGUGGGGCAAGAGCCCACCAGUCUGGUGGCGACAUCAGGGCUGUGCAUCCCGGAAGUUGAAAGUUCAUGUAUACCGGCGAACAAAAGAGAAGGCUGCCCGUCUGAGCCGGAGGGUAGAACGAUAGAGGUCGGCGGCGACGUCGGCAGUAGAUAAAUGGCAGACGCUCCCCACUGCGGGAGACACAGAACCCGGCUUACAGGUUCACUGU
This 359-nucleotide RNase P RNA is filed under the name bovine gut metagenome. RNAcentral describes it as "Bacterial RNase P class A". It matches the Rfam family "Bacterial RNase P class A". Rfam says of the family: Ribonuclease P (RNase P) is a ubiquitous endoribonuclease, found in archaea, bacteria and eukarya as well as chloroplasts and mitochondria. Its best characterised activity is the generation of mature 5'-ends of tRNAs by cleaving the 5'-leader elements of precursor-tRNAs. Cellular RNase Ps are ribonucleoproteins. The record is from RNAcentral.